Molecule: non-coding RNA, 24 nt
Filed under: Arabidopsis thaliana (thale cress)
Lineage: Eukaryota; Viridiplantae; Streptophyta; Magnoliopsida; Brassicales; Brassicaceae
Source: RNAcentral
GAUUCUGUUAAUGGGAAUUAGUCU